GUGCUCGCUUCAGCAGCACAUAUACUGAAAUUGGAACGAUACAGAGAAGAUUAGCAUGGCCCCUGCACAAGGAUGACAUGCAAAUUCGUGAAACAUUCCAUAUUUUU
RNAcentral lists this small nuclear RNA (107 nucleotides) under Prolemur simus (greater bamboo lemur). The record is from RNAcentral. Lineage: Eukaryota; Metazoa; Chordata; Mammalia; Primates; Lemuridae.